UGGGGAAUUUUGGACAAUGGGGGAAACCCUGAUCCAGCCAUCCCGCGUGUGCGAUGAAGGCCUUCGGGUUGUAAAGCACUUUUGGCAGGAAAGAAACGUCGCGGGUUAAUACCCCGCGAAACUGACGGUACCUGCAGAAUAAGCACCGGCUAACUACGUGCCAGCAGCCGCGGUAAUACGUAGGGUGCAAGCGUUAAUCGGAAUUACUGGGCGUAAAGCGUGCGCAGGCGGUUCGGAAAGAAAGAUGUGAAAUCCCAGAGCUUAACUUUGGAACUGCAUUUUUAACUACCGGGCUAGAGUGUGUCAGAGGGAGGUGGAAUUCCGCGUGUAGCAGUGAAAUGCGUAGAUAUGCGGAGGAACACCGAUGGCGAAGGCAGCCUCCUGGGAUAACACUGACGCUCAUGCACGAAAGCGUGGGGGAGCAAACAGGAUUAGAUACCCUGGUAGUCCACGCCCUAAACGAUGUCAACUAGCUGUUGGGGCCUUCGGGCCUUGGUAGCGCAGCUAACGCGUGAAGUUGACCGCCUGGGGAGUACGGUCGCAAGAUUAAAACUCAAAGGAAUU
RNAcentral lists this ribosomal RNA (564 nucleotides) under uncultured bacterium. Its description in RNAcentral is "partial 16S ribosomal RNA". It matches the Rfam family "Bacterial small subunit ribosomal RNA", at positions 355 to 911 of the family's 1533-position model. The record is from RNAcentral.